Molecule: ribosomal RNA, 97 nt
Filed under: Oryza punctata
Lineage: Eukaryota; Viridiplantae; Streptophyta; Magnoliopsida; Poales; Poaceae
Source: RNAcentral
GGAUGUGAUCAUACCAGCACUAAAGCACCGUAUUCCAUCUUAACUACGUAGUUAAGCGUGCUUGGGUGAGAGCUGGGAAGUCCUCGUGUUGCAUCCC